Molecule: ribosomal RNA, 497 nt
Filed under: uncultured bacterium
Lineage: Bacteria
Description: partial 16S ribosomal RNA
Rfam family: Bacterial small subunit ribosomal RNA
Source: RNAcentral
GAUGAACGCUGGCGGCGUGCCUAAUACAUGCAAGUCGAGCGAACGGACGAGAAGCUUGCUUCUCUGAUGUUAGCGGCGGACGGGUGAGUAACACGUGGAUAACCUACCUAUAAGACUGGGAUAACUUCGGGAAACCGGAGCUAAUACCGGAUGAUAUUUUGAACCGCAUGGUUCAAAAGUGAAAGACGGUCUUGCUGUCACUUAUAGAUGGAUCCGCGCUGCAUUAGCUAGUUGGUAAGGUAACGGCUUACCAAGGCAACGAUGCAUAGACGACCUGAGAGGGUGAUAGGCCACACUGGAACUGAGACACGGUCCAGACUCCUACGGGAGGCAGCAGUAGGGAAUCUUCCGCAAUGGGCGAAAGCCUGACGGAGCAACGCCGCGUGAGUGAUGAAGGUCUUCGGAUCGUAAAACUCUGUUAUUAGGGAAGAACAUAUGUGUAAGUAAAUGUGGACAUAUUGACGGUACCUAAUCAGAAAGCCACGGCUAACUACGUG